Molecule: ribosomal RNA, 418 nt
Filed under: uncultured bacterium
Lineage: Bacteria
Description: bacterial SSU rRNA
Rfam family: Bacterial small subunit ribosomal RNA
Source: RNAcentral
UGGGGAAUAUUGCACAAUGGGGGAAACCCUGAUGCAGCAACGCCGCGUGAAGGAUGAAGGUUUUCGGAUCGUAAACUUCUAUCAACAGGGACGAAACAAAUGACGGUACCUGAAUAAGAAGCCCCGGCUAACUACGUGCCAGCAGCCGCGGUAAUACGUAGGGGGCAAGCGUUAUCCGGAAUUACUGGGUGUAAAGGGAGCGUAGGCGGCACGUCAAGCCAGAUGUGAAAGCCCGGGGCUUAACCCCGUGGAUUGCAUUUGGAACUGGCGAGCUAGAGUACAGGAGAGGAAAGCGGAAUUCCUAGUGUAGCGGUGAAAUUCGUAGAUAUUAGGAAGAACACCAGUGGCGAAGGCGGCUUUCUGGACUGAAACUGACGCUGAGGCUCGAAAGCGUGGGGAGCAAACAGGAUUAGAUACC